GCAGUCGCCGCGGGAAUACGGAGGAUCCAAGCGUUAUCCGGAAUCAUUGGGUUUAAAGGGUCCGUAGGCGGUCUUGUAAGUCAGUGGUGAAAGCCCAUCGCUCAACGGUGGAACGGCCAUUGAUACUGCAGGACUUGAAUUAUUGGGAAGUAACUAGAAUAUGUAGUGUAGCGGUGAAAUGCUUAGAGAUUACAUGGAAUACCAAUUGCGAAGGCAGGUUUCUACCAAUUGAUUGACGCUGAUGGACGAAAGCGUGGGUAGCGAACAGGAUUAGAGACCCCCGUAGUCCCUGUCUCUUAUAC
RNAcentral lists this ribosomal RNA (302 nucleotides) under uncultured bacterium. RNAcentral's name for it is "partial 16S ribosomal RNA". It matches the Rfam family "Bacterial small subunit ribosomal RNA", at positions 508 to 807 of the family's 1533-position model. The record is from RNAcentral.